AUACUUAAGUAGUAAUAGAUAUAGGCUUGAAACUUAAAGAAUUUGGCGGUAUUUUAAUCUUUUCAGAGGAACCUGUUCUAUAAUCGAUAUUCCACGUUUAAUUUUACUAAAGUAUUUGUAUACCGUUGUCGAAAGAAUAAAUUUUCUAAAAUUAAAAUUUUAAUUAAUGUCAAAUCAAGGUGCAGUUUAUAAUUUAGUAGAAAUGGGUUACAAUAAAAGUAUUUAGAAUUUUAAUAAAGGUGGAUU
This 246-nucleotide ribosomal RNA is filed under the name Ectinorus onychius. Its description in RNAcentral is "partial 12S ribosomal RNA". The record is from RNAcentral. Lineage: Eukaryota; Metazoa; Arthropoda; Insecta; Siphonaptera; Rhopalopsyllidae.